UGGAUUUGGCUGAGGCAAGCUAAUUUCACUGCUUAACAUCAUAACCACUGAUGACAUGUUUGGCCUAUCAUGUGCAUUCUGCUGCACACAGAGGAGACUUAUAUGAAUGCAGCGCAACGCUUCAGAGAGAUCACCUUUGAGGUAUUCAUCAACUACUUCUAUAUGCCUUUCUUCUGUCCAUAAAUCCCAAGCCUAUAUAUGCAUAUACCAAAUUAUGUAGCAUUCAUUGUGAAGUAUAAGUUUGGAUAGACAUGAUCAAAUGAUAGCUGAUCUAUACUUACAUAUCCAACAAGGUAUGUACUUUCUUUAUCAUGAUGGUUUGCUUUGUUCUUCUUUCCGGAUACUAUCUCCAGCAGCAAAAUGCCAAAGCUAAAGACAUCAGAUUUCACUGAAAAAUUUCCGUCUAUUGCAUAUUCUGGUGCCAUGUAUCCACUAAUGAAUAAUAUAAGAAAAAGGAUUAGUUUGGUAUUGAAAUUGUAUAAUUAAAAUUAAGAGGCAUUAUGAAUCCUUACUAGGUUCCAACCACUCGACCUGUAGUUUCUGCACUUUGAUCUCCUUUAAAAAUUUUGGCCAAACCAAAGUCUGAUAUUUUAGGAUUCAUAUCACUAUCAAGUAAAACAUUACUUGCUUUGAGAUCUCUAUGAAUGAUUUUUAGUAUUGAAUCUUGAUGAAGAUAAAGAAUUCCCCUUGCAAUUCCACAAAUUAUUUGAAAGCGCUUCGACCAAUCCAAGAGCAUUCUUUGCGUUUCAUCUAGUCAUUUUUGAACAUUGUAUAAUCUUUUCAGAACAAACAGACAGUUAAUUAUGCAUUUCUUGAAGGGCCACAACUACUAUGAGCAAUUUAACAUGGAUCAAAGCAUCUAGAAAUUUCAUACCAAAUAUAAAUAAAUCCAGACUUUUAUUAGGCAUGUACUCAUAGACGAGCAAUUUUUCUUCCUCAUGAAUGCAACACCCAUGAAGCUUUACAAGAUUACGAUGCUGAAGUUUGGCUAUUAAGACAAUUUCAUUCUUAAAUUCUUUAAGUCCUUGGCCAGAGCUUCUAGAAAGUCUCUUAACAGCAAUUUCUUGUCCAUUUUCCAUUGUCCCCUGCCAUUUACCAAUAGCAAAUACUGUAACUUUGUAAGCUACAAACGGCUUUAAUUUGUUUUUGCAUGAUUAUGAAACCAGCUUAUCAUGUAUAUAAAUAUUACCUUAUAUACAGGUCCAAAACCACCUUCUCCGAGCUUGUUGUCGAUUGAAAAGUUGUUUGUGGCGCUAGCUAUAACUGAUAGGUCAAACAAUGGAAGCUCCAAAUCCUCUUCCUGUUCUUCCUUGAAAUGAUCUACUACUGCUGCAUU
RNAcentral lists this long non-coding RNA (1336 nucleotides) under Arachis ipaensis. Its description in RNAcentral is "long non-coding RNA (AIPA_LNC001916)". The record is from RNAcentral. Lineage: Eukaryota; Viridiplantae; Streptophyta; Magnoliopsida; Fabales; Fabaceae.